GCACUUGAGUAGCCAUGCUGCUUGAGACUCAGCCUGGCUUUUGCUUGGUGUAUUUCUCGGUAGCACGCCAGCAUUGGUUUGUGUCGUCGGAAAAGCGUAUGGGGAAUGUGGCAUCCUCGGAUGGGUUAUAGCCCUGUGCAGGAUACAACGACGUAGACCAAGGAACGCAGUGUGCCCUCUGGGCGGGUCUUCAGACACCUUCACCUUAGGAUGCUGGCGAAAUGGCUUUAAGUGGCCCGUCUCGAAACACGGACCAAGA
RNAcentral lists this ribosomal RNA (259 nucleotides) under Malassezia restricta. Its description in RNAcentral is "partial large subunit ribosomal RNA". Lineage: Eukaryota; Fungi; Basidiomycota; Malasseziomycetes; Malasseziales; Malasseziaceae. The record is from RNAcentral.